RNAcentral lists this ribosomal RNA (433 nucleotides) under uncultured bacterium. RNAcentral's name for it is "partial 16S ribosomal RNA". It matches the Rfam family "Bacterial small subunit ribosomal RNA", at positions 29 to 507 of the family's 1533-position model. The record is from RNAcentral.
AACGAAUGCUGGCGGCAUGCCUAACACAUGCAAGUCGAACGAAGGCUUCGGCCUUAGUGGCGCACGGGUGCGUAACGCGUGGGAAUCUGCCCUUUGGUUCGGAAUAACAGCUGGAAACGGCUGCUAAUACCGGAUGAUGACGAAAGUCCAAAGAUUUAUCGCCAGAGGAUGAGCCCGCGUUGGAUUAGGUAGUUGGUGGGGUAAAGGCCUACCAAGCCGACGAUCCAUAGCUGGUCUGAGAGGAUGAUCAGCCACACUGGGACUGAGACACGGCCCAGACUCCUACGGGAGGCAGCAGUGGGGAAUAUUGGACAAUGGGCGCAAGCCUGAUCCAGCAAUGCCGCGUGAGUGAUGAAGGCCCUAGGGUUGUAAAGCUCUUUUACCCGGGAAGAUAAUGACUGUACCGGGAGAAUAAGCCCCGGCUAACUCCGUG